RNAcentral lists this ribosomal RNA (599 nucleotides) under Penicillium sp. CCF3782. Its description in RNAcentral is "eukaryotic LSU rRNA". It matches the Rfam family "Eukaryotic large subunit ribosomal RNA", at positions 42 to 656 of the family's 3401-position model. The record is from RNAcentral. Lineage: Eukaryota; Fungi; Ascomycota; Eurotiomycetes; Eurotiales; Aspergillaceae.
AUCAAUAAGCGGAGGAAAAGAAACCAACCGGGAUUGCCUCAGUAACGGCGAGUGAAGCGGCAAGAGCUCAAAUUUGAAAUCUGGCCCCUCCGGGGUCCGAGUUGUAAUUUGCAGAGGAUGCUUCGGGAGCGGUCCCCGUCUAAGUGCCCUGGAACGGGCCGUCAUAGAGGGUGAGAAUCCCGUCUGGGAUGGGCGGCCGCGCCCGUGUGAAGCGCCUUCGACGAGUCGAGUUGUUUGGGAAUGCAGCUCUAAGUGGGUGGUAAAUUUCAUCUAAAGCUAAAUACUGGCCGGAGACCGAUAGCGCACAAGUAGAGUGAUCGAAAGAUGAAAAGCACUUUGAAAAGAGAGUUAAACAGCACGUGAAAUUGUUGAAAGGGAAGCGUUGUCCACCAGACUCGCCCGGGGGGGUUCAGCCGGCACUCGUGCCGGUGUACUCUCCCCCGGGCGGGCCAGCAUCGGUUUGGGCGGCUGGUGAAAGGCCCCGGGAAUGUAACACCCUCCGGGGUGCCUUAUAGCCCGGGGUGUCAUGCGGCCAGCCUGGACCGAGGCCCGCGCUUCGGCGAGGAUGCUGGCGUAAUGGUGGUCAACGGCCCGUCUUG